AGCUUGCUCUUAUGGGUGGCGAGUGGCGGACGGGUGAGGAAUACAUCGGAAUCUACUUUUUCGUGGGGGAUAACGUAGGGAAACUUACGCUAAUACCGCAUACGACCUACGGGUGAAAGCAGGGGACCUUCGGGCCUUGCGCGAUUGAAUGAGCCGAUGUCGGAUUAGCUAGUUGGCGGGGUAAAGGCCCACCAAGGCGACGAUCCGUAGCUGGUCUGAGAGGAUGAUCAGCCACACUGGAACUGAGACACGGUCCAGACUCCUACGGGAGGCAGCAGUGGGGAAUAUUGGACAAUGGGCGCAAGCCUGAUCCAGCCAUACCGCGUGGGUGAAGAAGGCCUUCGGGUUGUAAAGCCCUUUUGUUGGGAAAGAAAUCCAGCCGGCUAAUACCUGGUUGGGAUGACGGUACCCAAAGAAUAAGCACCGGCUAACUUCGUGCCAGCAGCCGCGGUAAUACGAAGGGUGCAAGCGUUACUCGGAAUUACUGGGCGUAAAGCGUGCGUAGGUGGUUGUUUAAGUCUGUUGUGAAAGCCCUGGGCUCAACCUGGGAACUGCAGUGGAAACUGGACAACUAGAGUGUGGUAGAGGGUAGCGGAAUUCCCGGUGUAGCAGUGAAAUGCGUAGAGAUCGGGAGGAACAUCCAUGGCG
This 648-nucleotide ribosomal RNA is filed under the name Stenotrophomonas sp. Air82. RNAcentral's name for it is "bacterial SSU rRNA". It matches the Rfam family "Bacterial small subunit ribosomal RNA", at positions 77 to 717 of the family's 1533-position model. The record is from RNAcentral. Lineage: Bacteria; Pseudomonadati; Pseudomonadota; Gammaproteobacteria; Lysobacterales; Lysobacteraceae.